RNAcentral lists this ribosomal RNA (805 nucleotides) under uncultured Bacteroidota bacterium. RNAcentral's name for it is "bacterial SSU rRNA". It matches the Rfam family "Bacterial small subunit ribosomal RNA", at positions 1 to 799 of the family's 1533-position model. Lineage: Bacteria; Pseudomonadati; Bacteroidota. The record is from RNAcentral.
AGGAGAGUUUGAUCCUGGCUCAGGAUGAACGCUAGCUACAGGCUUAACACAUGCAAGUCGAGGGGCAGCAUGAUCUAAGCUUGCUUUGAUUGAUGGCGACCGGCGCACGGGUGAGUAACGCGUAUCCAACCUUCCCUAUAGUAGAGGAUAGCCCGGCGAAAGUCGGAUUAAUACUCUAUGUUUUCCAAUGCAGACAUCUAAGUUGGAACAAAGGUUCACCGCUAUAGGAUGGGGAUGCGUCUGAUUAGGUUGUUGGCGGGGUAACGGCCCACCAAGCCUACGAUCAGUAGGGGUUCUGAGAGGAAGGUCCCCCACAUUGGAACUGAGACACGGUCCAAACUCCUACGGGAGGCAGCAGUGAGGAAUAUUGGUCAAUGGGCGAGAGCCUGAACCAGCCAAGUAGCGUGCAGGAUGACGGCCCUAUGGGUUGUAAACUGCUUUUAUACGGGGAUAAAGUGAGGGACGUGUCCCUUUUUGUAGGUACCGUAUGAAUAAGGACCGGCUAAUUCCGUGCCAGCAGCCGCGGUAAUACGGAAGGUCCGGGCGUUAUCCGGAUUUAUUGGGUUUAAAGGGAGCGCAGGCUGAUUAUUAAGCGUGACGUGAAAUGUAGCCGCUCAACGGCUGAACUGCGUCGCGAACUGGUAGUCUUGAGUGAGUUCGAUGUUGGCGGAAUUCGUGGUGUAGCGGUGAAAUGCUUAGAUAUCACGAAGAACUCCGAUUGCGAAGGCAGCCAACAAGGCCUUUACUGACGCUAAAGCUCGAAGGUGCGGGUAUCGAACAGGAUUAGAUACCCUGGUAGUCCCCU